RNAcentral lists this long non-coding RNA (202 nucleotides) under Elaeis guineensis (African oil palm). RNAcentral describes it as "long non-coding RNA (EGUI_LNC014957)". The record is from RNAcentral. Lineage: Eukaryota; Viridiplantae; Streptophyta; Magnoliopsida; Arecales; Arecaceae.
CCAGAAUUGAUGUCAUCUCGAUCGCUACAACUGGCAUGAUGGCUGCGGCAUCCUCAUCUCUCACCGUCUCUACUACUACCGAGGGCACUUCGGCAGAAGGGUGCGUUGUCAGAGCCAACAACGCUAUGACUGGCUCAGCUCUGGGAGCUAUCACCGAUGGAAUGUCGGGCUUCCUCACCAACAUCGACUCUGAAUCAACCCG